GAGUGUGGGAGCGUGUGUGGGUGGCAGUGUGGGUCUGUGGGUGGGUGGUUGUUAGUGAGUGUGGGUGAUGCUAUAAACAGGCAGUUGUUGUACAUUGCCACCUCUGCAGCAGCAGCGUCUCAUUGUAGUGCCCCCGAGCCAUUCACAUUGGUUCUUUCAUGGAGAGACGGGAGGAGGGGCAGUAGGAGAGUGACAGCAGCUGCUUCUUCCCUCCCCUUCUCCUUUCUGCUUCAAUCACAUCCCAACACCCCCCUUCCAUCACCCAAAGCCCAUCGGUCCCUCAGCUUCCCAAGGCCACAAGAUGCUGGACAUUUUCCUCCUGAUGUUCUUUGCCAUUAUAGGCCUCGUCCUGCUCUCCUACAUCAUCUACAUAUUGUGAGGCAUUAACCCUUCAUCACAGACGGAAAUCGAGCAGCACCUGAAACAUGAAAUGACAACGUAAAGGGGUCGGAAUGAGAAAUUUCAAACCCGGGAGAAGGAUCUGUGAAGUGCGGAAGAGCAGGAGAUGUCCGUGCGAUGCAUUGGGACAUCAGGGGAGCACAACAAGAUGGCGGCCAAACCUUGUGAUACAUUUCUUCUCUUACAUGUUGUGGCAAAUGCAUUAGAAUCCUGUAGUCGGCAACGUAUUCUAUGAUAACAAGUGUUGAAUUUUUGUUUUAACAAUGUCAGUCGUCGCUUUAAAUAAAAGAGUUGUCCUUUAA
Long non-coding RNA from Xenopus laevis (African clawed frog), 701 nucleotides. RefSeq lists it as uncharacterized. The record is from RefSeq and is a predicted model, not a curated record. NCBI's taxonomy places the organism in Eukaryota, Metazoa, Chordata, Amphibia, Anura, Pipidae. The transcript has 2 exons.